RNAcentral lists this ribosomal RNA (253 nucleotides) under uncultured bacterium. RNAcentral describes it as "partial 16S ribosomal RNA". It matches the Rfam family "Bacterial small subunit ribosomal RNA", at positions 524 to 776 of the family's 1533-position model. The record is from RNAcentral.
UACGGAGGGGGCUAGCGUUGUUCGGAAUUACUAGGCGUAAAGCGCACGUAGGCGGACUGUUAAGUCGGGGGUGAAAUCCUGGGGCUCAACCUCAGAAUUGCCUCCGAUACUGGCAGUCUCGAGUGCGGGAGAGGUGAGUGGAAUUCCCAGUGUAGAGGUGAAAUUCGUAGAUAUUGGGAAGAACACCAGUGGCGAAGGCGGCUCACUGGCCCGUAACUGACGCUGAGGUGCGAAAGCGUGGGGAGCAAACAGG